GCACUCGAAGGUUCUGCUGCUCUGGGUGGCCUCGCUGCGGGGCACCCACCCCGGGCGACGGUUUUGGGGGUGGGGGAGGGAGCAGAACCUCUCUCUGGGGAGACAGCCCUAAUCAGCCGCUCUCAUUACAAACGCUGAUUAAACUGCAAAUUAUCCAGCAGCGGCCCUGUUCCCGUCUACCAGCAGCUCGUUCAAUAUCAAUUAAGGCCGAGCGGCAAAGCCUGCAGCCUCCGAGAGCUUCCAACUGCCUGAUAGUGGCACUUAUUAGUUUGGAAAACUAGGAAAAUACUAAUAAUCAACAACCAAGGGGAAAGAGGAGGCAACCAGACAAAAGGAAGGCAGGAACGCAGCCGGAGAAAGGAGCGAGCGCGCCGCCUGCCCGCGCCCCCGCCUCCGCCCCCGCUCCUCUGGCCCCAGCAAAGACUGUUCACGGAUGGGACUGAAUCCCUUGGAGAACUCAGGAGACAACAGAAGACCUGCAAAAAUGUGUAGAGCUGGGAGCACGAGGACGGGUCCAUGAUCCACGUGAACACGGGGAGGCAGGGAAGACUUCAUGGAGGAGACUAGCUACCACAAUACUUCAACAUUGUCAGUUAAUGGACUUCACCAAUGAUGAUCCUUCAUGAUUAUGAAGAUGAUGAUGAUGAAAAAGAAGAAGAAGAAAAGGAAGAAGAAGAGGAAGAAAGAGAAGAAUUCUAUCUUCUAUUUAAAACUAUUUUUCUCCUCGGGAAUUGAGAUAGUUCAUAGGAAAACAUAGGUAGAGUCACCAUGAACUGGGAGCCAAAUGACAAUCUAAGAGUCAAAAAAGUUAAAAGUUACACGUGAUGGGUGAUAUUAGCCAUCUGGAAAAUUCUUUAGGGCUAAUCUCUAAAUCAUUCCAGAAGAAAAGUAGCCAUUAAAUUUCAUAAAUAGGAGGGUUUUGAUAACCCAAAAGAGAGAAGAUUUAGUGGAGAGUUAGGUUGGAAACAGGCAUACAGUGGGUUAGGGAGUGAGUGGGAGGUGGCGACAGGGGCAGAGCAAGGGUAACAACUGUUUCAAGGCACAUAGCCAGGAGUUCUGAUGCACUCUUGAGGGAAGAGAAGCAGGUGAAAUCUUUCUGGAUGGUAAUUAGGUAGCAGAUAAUAAAAGCCUUGAAUAUAUUCAUGUCUUGACCCAGUUAUUCAACUUCUAAGAAAUUAGCUUAGCGAAAUAACCAGACAUGUACAAAGAUUUAUAUACCAGGAAAUUCACUUAACCAAUGUUUUGUUUUAUUGUGAAAUACACCUUAUAUACAAAAGCAUGCACAAAACAUUGGAGUUUAUUUGAAAGAAUAGUAAUAAAGUAAGUACCUGUGUAGCCACCACUCAGGAUAUAAGGAAAACACUGCUCCCAAUUGCCCGGCUCUCUCCCACCAUGAGUAAUAAUUGCCCUAACCUUUGAACAAUCAUUUCUUCACUUUUCCUUUAUAAUUUUAUCACCUUUGAAUAUAUCUGUACAUAAUAUAAUGUUUAGUUUUGUUUGCUUUUGAUUUUAAUAUAAAUGCAAUCAUGCUAUUUGUAUUCUUCUAUAAUUUGCUUCUUUUGCUCUCCAUUAUGUGUUUAAG
Long non-coding RNA from Equus caballus (horse), 1582 nucleotides. The record is from Ensembl. Lineage: Eukaryota; Metazoa; Chordata; Mammalia; Perissodactyla; Equidae.